CUCAGGACGAACGCUGGCGGCGUGCCUAAUACAUGCAAGUCGAGCGAACUGAUGAAGAGCUUGCUUUUGAUCAGUUAGCGGCGGACGGGUGAGUAACACGUGGGUAACCUGCCUGUAAGACUAGGAUAACUCCGGGAAACCGGGGCUAAUACUGGAUAACUUUUCUCUCCGCAUGGAGAGAGAUUGAAAGAUGGCUUCGGCUAUCACUUACAGAUGGACCCGCGGCGCAUUAGCUAGUUGGUGAGGUAACGGCUCACCAAGGCAACGAUGCGUAGCCGACCUGAGAGGGUGAUCGGCCACAUUGGGACUGAGACACGGCCCAAACUCCUACGGGAGGCAGCAGUAGGGAAUCUUCCGCAAUGGACGAAAGUCUGACGGAGCAACGCCGCGUGAGUGAAGAAGGUCUUCGGAUCGUAAAACUCUGUUGUUAGGGAAGAACAAGUAUCGUUCGAAUAGGGCGGUACCUUGACGGUACCUAACCAGAAAGCCACGGCUAACUACGUGCCAGCAGCCGCGGUAAUACGUAGGUGGCAAGCGUUGUCCGGAAUUAUUGGGCGUAAAGCGCGCGCAGGCGGUCUUUUAAGUCUGAUGUGAAAGCCCACGGCUCAACCGUGGAGGGUCAUUGGAAACUGGAAGACUUGAGUGCAGAAGAGGAGAGUGGAAUUCCACGUGUAGCGGUGAAAUGCGUAGAGAUGUGGAGGAACACCAGUGGCGAAGGCGACUCUCUGGUCUGUAACUACG
RNAcentral lists this ribosomal RNA (741 nucleotides) under Bacillus sp. SMCC G976. RNAcentral's name for it is "bacterial SSU rRNA". It matches the Rfam family "Bacterial small subunit ribosomal RNA", at positions 23 to 745 of the family's 1533-position model. Lineage: Bacteria; Bacillati; Bacillota; Bacilli; Caryophanales; Bacillaceae. The record is from RNAcentral.